Molecule: long non-coding RNA, 1418 nt
Filed under: Phaseolus vulgaris (common bean)
Lineage: Eukaryota; Viridiplantae; Streptophyta; Magnoliopsida; Fabales; Fabaceae
Description: long non-coding RNA (PVUL_LNC001554)
Source: RNAcentral
UCGGAUGCACCCAUAGUCAAGAGUCAAAAGAUAUAGGAAAGGUAUUUUAAAAACGAAACCACAGUUAAUCAAUGGCCUGAAUAUGCAAAAUGAAAAAAUACAUUCAUUUAAGUAGGUGUAUACUGCUUUAAUGAAUGGAUCUUUUGCUCAAAUUUACUUCCUUCUCCUUCAACUGAUAAGGAAUAAACUAGCUUUUUAUCUUCUCUGACGUAGAAACACAAACAUGGGAGGGAAAAACACAUAUUGAUGCAGCACAAAAGGAGAUUGUUACACAUGUUAGGCUUUGGUACAAUAGAAACUCAAACAGUAAGCAGGCAAACACAUAAUUAUGAUUGACCACCUUUGUCCAGCAUAACUAACAUAAGACUAACAGUUCCCUUUUCUUCCUUCGUUAUGCCAAUAUAAUGGCCUUUCACAGAUUUCACCAAUGUUAUAGAGCUCUGAAACAUGUCAUCUCUUGUUCAAAAAGAAAUAGACAAAGAAAAAGGUCGGUCUAACUAAUUUCAACACAUCCUACAUCCAAAAGAUACUCAAACUUAAGGAAACAUACUUUGAGAUUCAUGCACUGGUUCACAUCACCGUUUAUUGAUAACUGAUGUCAGUUCCACAUAAGCAGAAGACUUCUUACCUCAAAAUUCAGAAACGACAGAUAAGAAGUGUUGUAGCACUCUAAGAUAAGGGUUGCAUACUUAGAUUGCAUCCCCAACCAUUUACUGUGUUUAAAAGAAGGGGGACAAAAUGCAAGAUGAUUCCUUACUCACGAUAACAUAUGUAUAAUAGUUCUGUACAUUGAAUAUAAAUAUAUGAUCCAAAAAACAAGGCACCACAAACUCCUCCAAUCAUAACAAUAACAAACACUAAAGAAUCCAACAUGAGGGGAACCAGCAAACUGAAAACUAUAGUAUCAAAUUUAUCAUACCACAACAACAAUCCUAACAGGAGACUUCAAUGCCCAAGUCCCAUACUUUUUUCUUUACUUCCCCAAAGAUAUAUUUCUUUGGAAACAAUCCUAUUCGAGACACAAUCAGACACUGAAUGUCGGCAUUUCUCUGGGCAAAUAUUCGAACCAUAAUUCGACACAUUGUGGGGGACUAGCCCAAAUCCCCAGGUAGAUAUCCUUCUCUGAAAGCAAUCCGAUUCAACACACUAUCAGACACCAAAUGAGAGAUUCGAACCUUAAUUCGGCGUAUUACGAGAAACUAGCCCAAGUCCCACAUGACAAAGGAACAACGUCAACCCUCUAUAACAUUACAAUGGGAAGAACAAGAAUUACAUAAUUCCACAAACAAAAUUUCUAAUCCUACACUCAUCUCUUCAAAACCUUACCUCCAAACUCCUUCGCCAACCCACAGGAAUUCCGAACAUUUCCAUCCCCAAAAUAAACGCCACAAAAACAUAACAGUAAAGCAUAAAAUCAC